Thalassiosira oceanica is the source of this 45-nucleotide non-coding RNA. The record is from Rfam. NCBI's taxonomy places the organism in Eukaryota, Bacillariophyta, Thalassiosirophyceae, Thalassiosirales, Thalassiosiraceae.
AAACCGGAUUUUCUAAAAUCCACCCAACGAUCAAAGAUCAACCAC